CAGCUGUUGGUAAAUUCCUUCUGUGCCUCCUCUCAGAGCAGAAGGGGUGGGACAGGGUUGCUGGAGGAGGGCUCAACUUGUUAUUGAGGAAGAGAUCCAGUUGCAGAAGACAGCUGAGUACUAACACAGACAAAAACACAUUUGCUCCUGAUACACCACUGAGGCUCCACUUUUAUUCUGUGCCACAAAUCUACAACCCUCAGAGAAAUGGUGUGAUUGAUCAUCAAUGCCUGCAGGUACGUGGUGCUGAAGAUCCGGGCUGCAGUGAGAGGCGACGUGCAGCCAGAGAAAACAAGCACCACAGCAUGUAGCCAGGCUAAAGGACAAAUGGAUGGCAGGAUGAGCGCUGAUGGGUCAGCCUUGAUUUCCCAACCGACCCAGACAGUCGAUGUCCUGCAGAAGAAAGACUGUGGAUCCUGAAACUAAACCGAGAGCUGGAGGGUAGUGUGGAAGGUCUAUAAUGAGGAGACAAACACAUAAACACACACACACACACACACACUCUAUGUGGUUCUUUCCAAAUGUAAUGAAAUCAUCAGUUCCUCCACAAUCUCGCCACACAAACACAGGCACUACCAUUCAUUAAAAACUCAGACAAAAAGAUUUCAAACUGCAUUGAACUCCCACCUGCUUCCAACUCUCGGUUUCCUUCAUCCAGUGGAGACAGCAGUCCGAGUUGGCAGAGAGAAUGAAAGCCUGAUCACCAAUUCCUCAGCAGAGGAACGGAACAGUCUGGAUAAAUAUUAAAGACUCUGCUGAUAAAGCUGCAUCAAGUCAUGUAUUCGUAGACCUGUUCUUUUUCUCUGUCACUGUAAUCAUUUUCAGUAAAAAAAGAGCAUAGUCCUUG
Long non-coding RNA from Sander lucioperca (pikeperch), 847 nucleotides. RefSeq lists it as uncharacterized. The transcript is spliced from 3 exons. The record is from RefSeq and is a predicted model, not a curated record. Lineage: Eukaryota; Metazoa; Chordata; Actinopteri; Perciformes; Percidae.